Musa acuminata subsp. malaccensis (wild Malaysian banana) is the source of this 621-nucleotide long non-coding RNA. RefSeq lists it as uncharacterized. NCBI's taxonomy places the organism in Eukaryota, Viridiplantae, Streptophyta, Magnoliopsida, Zingiberales, Musaceae. The record is from RefSeq and is a predicted model, not a curated record.
AGGGUUUCAAUGUGUUGAGUUCUUUGUUUGGUUUCUUGUUCCGGUCAAUUUCUUGAUUCCUUGCAGCACAGUCUGGAGUGGGAUUUAAAUCAUGUCGCUACUGGUUGUUGUAAAGAUCUCUAACGCCUCACAGCUUGAAGGUAUUAAGUAUGGAUCUGCACCAGUAUCAAUAACCAUGAGAUCAUAUGUGUUGUAAAGACUUCGAAUCUGACUCUAGGUAGCUGAGACUUGGGAGGCAUGCAGAAGCUCUUCACAAGCUUUUCAUUCCUGAUCAUGGAUCAACGAAACAAGGAUCUGAGUGGUAUUGCCUCUCAUGGCAUUGGCCACCAAUGGUUACAUCAAACUUGAACAAAAGUCUGAGGGGAUCCUUCAGGUAAAAGGAUGCAUGAUGGCCCAAGUGUUGCUGAAUGCUCGGAAGCUGCAGAACUCAAUGUACAUAACAUAUAGAUCAAGGUGUAUAUAUGUACAAGGAAGGGUUGACUGACUACUCGAAACGGUACAAAAUAAAUGGUAUGUAUUGGUUCAUAAGCUGAUCGUGGACUAAGUAUCGAUCGGUACGAAUGAUGUAUCAGUUGAUACGAUCGAAACUCAUUAUAUUUAUGGAUUGGUAUCGUUUGAAAU